UACAGAGGGUGCAAGCGUUAAUCGGAAUUACUGGGCGUAAAGCGUGCGUAGACGGUUAUGUAAGUCGGGUGUGAAAGCCCCGGGCUCAACCUGGGUAUGCCAUUCGAGACUGCAUAGCUAGGGUGCGGAAGAGGGAAGCGGAAUUUCCGGUGUAGCGGUGAAAUGCGUUGAUAUCGGAAGGAACACCAGUGGCGAAAGCGGCUUCCUGGUCCAGCACCGACGUUCAUGCACGAAAGCGUGGGGAGCAAACAGG
Molecule: ribosomal RNA, 253 nt
Filed under: uncultured bacterium
Lineage: Bacteria
Description: partial 16S ribosomal RNA
Rfam family: Bacterial small subunit ribosomal RNA
Source: RNAcentral